UACGGAGGGUGCAAGCGUUAUCCGGAUUCACUGGGCUUAAAGGGUGCGUAGGCGGCUUGUUAAGUCACGGGUGAAAGUUUUCGGCCCAACCGGAAAAUUGCCCGUGAUACUGGCGAGCUUGAGUGCGGGAGGGGUGGGGGGAACGAGCAGUGUAGCGGUGAAAUGCGUAGAUAUUGCUCGGAAGGCCGGAGCCGAAGGGGCCCCACUGGUACGUGACUGACGCUGAGGCACGAAAGCGUGGGGAGCAAACAGG
This 253-nucleotide ribosomal RNA is filed under the name uncultured bacterium. Its description in RNAcentral is "partial 16S ribosomal RNA". It matches the Rfam family "Bacterial small subunit ribosomal RNA", at positions 524 to 776 of the family's 1533-position model. The record is from RNAcentral.